This 253-nucleotide ribosomal RNA is filed under the name uncultured bacterium. RNAcentral's name for it is "partial 16S ribosomal RNA". It matches the Rfam family "Bacterial small subunit ribosomal RNA", at positions 524 to 776 of the family's 1533-position model. The record is from RNAcentral.
UACGUAGGGAGCAAGCGUUGUUCGGAUUUACUGGGCGUAAAGGGCGCGUAGGCGGCGCGGUAAGUCACUUGUGAAAUCUCUGAGCUUAACUCAGAACGGCCAAGUGAUACUGCAGUGCUAGAGUGCAGAAGGGGCAAUCGGAAUUCUUGGUGUAGCGGUGAAAUGCGUAGAUAUCAAGAGGGACACCUGAGGUGAAGACGGGUUGCUAGGCUGACACUGACGCUGAGGCGCGAAAGCCAGGGGAGCAAACGGG